AAAUCUAUUAAUGAAGUUACUGUGUGUUGCUCACCUUGUUCUCCUCAUUCCCUUUAGCACUUGCUGAAAGCACUGAAUACAUUCCCAUUGCUUUCCACCCCAUUCCUGUCAAGGAGGCAAACGAAUAACACGUCCAGCGUUUCAAGUGGCUGCUAACAUGAUGUGUACAACUUCAGACAUUUAUGCGAGCACCCAGAAUAAGAGGAUAAAGUUGGCAACAACCUGAGGUCAUCUUGCCUAUAAACCACCUAACCACUGCCCUCCAGGGGUCCACUUUCCAGUAUCAGACAGUUUUGAGCCGGAUUCUGAUUUGCUUUACACCACCGCUCCAAAUCAGACAGUUGUUAUCAGCAGGAUGAUUGAUGCCAGCGUGAAGCAAAGGACUGUGAUACAGAAGAGCUACUUCAAGGGAAUGUGACUGGCUAGACGGAAAGUGAGAGAGGAGAUUUUCCCCGAGAUCUUCAGACAUGUGGACCUCAAGGUACUAUUAAUUUUGUUUAAAGAGUGGGAUGAAGAAAGGGGUGGAGGACAUGUAAGUGAGAAGAUGUAAAAACAAAACAAGCC
This is a long non-coding RNA of Calidris pygmaea (Spoon-billed sandpiper), 564 nucleotides long. The record is from Ensembl. NCBI's taxonomy places the organism in Eukaryota, Metazoa, Chordata, Aves, Charadriiformes, Scolopacidae.